This 252-nucleotide ribosomal RNA is filed under the name uncultured bacterium. Its description in RNAcentral is "partial 16S ribosomal RNA". It matches the Rfam family "Bacterial small subunit ribosomal RNA", at positions 524 to 776 of the family's 1533-position model. The record is from RNAcentral.
UACGGAGGAUGCGAGCGUUAUCCGGAUUUAUUGGGUUUAAAGGGUGCGCAGGCGGCACGGCAAGCCGGCGGUCAAAUCGCGGGGCUCAACCCCGCCCAGCCGUCGGAACUGCCGGGCUAGAGUGGGCGAGAAGUGCGCGGAAUGCGUGGUAUAGCGGUGAAAUGCAUAGAUAUCACGCAGAACUCCGAUUGCGAAGGCAGCGCACCGGCGCCCUACUGACGCUUAGGCACGAAAGCGUGGGUAUCGAACAGG